AACGUAGGACGCAAGCGUUAUCCGGAGUUACUGGGCGUAAAGCGCGGGCAGGCGGCUCUGCCAGUCUGAUGUGAAAUCUCCCAGCUCAACUGGGAGCAGCCAUUGGAAACUACAGAGCUGGAGUCUAGCAGAGGUAGGCGGAAUUCCGGGUGGAGUGGUGAAAUGCGUAGAGAUCCGGAGGAACACCAGAGGCGAAGGCGGCCUACUGGGCUAGUACUGACGCUGAGCCGCGAAAGCCAGGGGAGCGAACGGG
Molecule: ribosomal RNA, 253 nt
Filed under: uncultured bacterium
Lineage: Bacteria
Description: partial 16S ribosomal RNA
Rfam family: Bacterial small subunit ribosomal RNA
Source: RNAcentral